UUUUCCAAUGAUGAUUUAUUUUUUAUUUAUCACGACGGUCAACAUAAAGAAAUACCUUGAUGACCACCGCCUGUGACAGGGCAUUUAUCUGAAA
RNAcentral lists this small nucleolar RNA (94 nucleotides) under Aspergillus aculeatus ATCC 16872. Its description in RNAcentral is "Small nucleolar RNA snR73". It matches the Rfam family "Small nucleolar RNA snR73". Lineage: Eukaryota; Fungi; Ascomycota; Eurotiomycetes; Eurotiales; Aspergillaceae. The record is from Rfam by way of RNAcentral.